This 279-nucleotide ribosomal RNA is filed under the name uncultured bacterium. Its description in RNAcentral is "partial 16S ribosomal RNA". It matches the Rfam family "Bacterial small subunit ribosomal RNA", at positions 506 to 784 of the family's 1533-position model. The record is from RNAcentral.
UGCCAGCAGCCGCGGUAAUACGGAGGGGGCAAGCGUUGUUCGGAUUUAUUGGGCGUAAAGGGUGCGUAGGCGGUCCGGUAAGUCAUCCGUAAAAUCCCUCGGCUCAACCGAGGAACUGCGGAUGAUACUGCCGGGCUUGAGUCCCGGAGAGGGUGGCGGAAUUCCCAGUGUAGCGGUGAAAUGCGUAGAUACUGGGAGGAACACCGGUGGCGAAGGCGGCCACCUGGACGGGUACUGACGCUGAGGCGCGAAAGCAUGGGGAGCAAACAGGAUUAGAUA